This 278-nucleotide long non-coding RNA is filed under the name Physcomitrium patens. RNAcentral's name for it is "long non-coding RNA (PPAT_LNC005278)". Lineage: Eukaryota; Viridiplantae; Streptophyta; Bryopsida; Funariales; Funariaceae. The record is from RNAcentral.
GAGGUAGUGCCCGCCCGUUACAGAAUUUUCGGGCAGGAGGGACACGGGGGGCAUGGGCGAGGACAGGCGGAGGAGGGGAGGGGGCAUGGGCGGGGACGGGCGGAGGAGGGGGGGCAUGGGCGGGAUGGAAAAGGGAGGAAGGGUGACGACGGAGCUGGGAUCGCAGCUGCGGCUCAGAUGCAAUCUCAUCUGCCGAUUAUAUAUCUGGGAACGGAGGGAGGGAACGUAGGGGAACCAGGGGCGGGCAGGUUCGAGGCCGGGCAGCAUGGUGGGCGGUU